Molecule: ribosomal RNA, 434 nt
Filed under: uncultured Lachnospiraceae bacterium
Lineage: Bacteria; Bacillati; Bacillota; Clostridia; Lachnospirales; Lachnospiraceae
Description: partial 16S ribosomal RNA
Rfam family: Bacterial small subunit ribosomal RNA
Source: RNAcentral
ACGGAAGGCAGCAGUGGGGAAUAUUGCACAAUGGGCGAAAGCCUGAUGCAGCGACGCCGCGUGAGUGAAGAAGUAUCUCGGUAUGUAAAGCUCUAUCAGCAGGGAAGAAAAUGACGGUACCUGACUAAGAAGCACCGGCUAAAUACGUGCCAGCAGCCGCGGUAAUACGUAUGGUGCAAGCGUUAUCCGGAUUUACUGGGUGUAAAGGGAGCGUAGACGGCAUAGCAAGCCAGAUGUGAAAUGCGGGGGCUCAACCCCUGAACUGCAUUUGGAACUGUUAAGCUAGAGUAUCGGAGAGGUAAGUGGAAUUCCUAGUGUAGCGGUGAAAUGCGUAGAUAUUAGGAGGAACACCAGUGGCGAAGGCGGCUUACUGGACGAUAACUGACGUUGAGGCUCGAAAGCGUGGGGAGCAAACAGGAUUAGAUACCCUGGUA